CACACUCACACACACACACUCACACACACAUAUACACGCAUACACACCAAAGACGUAUCACUUACGCAACUGCAACAGCUGCUUAAUACAGUCACACUUGUCUUGACUUGGCACAACCCACACACACACACUCACACAUUACACAUUAUAUUGCUUCACACACAAUAUAUAUGUGAUUUCUCUGUUUUCGCAUAUUUCAAGAACUGCGAUUACAUCGUGACACUCUUUUUUUAUGGAUAACUCAGGGAAAGUUUGGCUAAUACGUACGAGUAUUUUACACACACACACACUCACAACACACAUACACUACUCAGCACUCAAUGGUAAACUUUGAUAUUUUGCAUUCGUGCAUUUAUCAGUUUUAAAGUUUACCGCAACAUGAGAGACAUUGAGUACGCACUGCAUUUGUAAUUUUUAAUUACUUUUGCAAUUACGCUGAGCAGACUUUGCGAAGUUCACUUUGCGAAGCAUGUCAUACAAGCAUCUACAGCAUCAAGUCACAGGGUUGGCAAGUGUAUUUUUGAACCUUCAAAGCAGUCACGCAUACGGAAGAGUAGUUUCUGAUCCCAUAGAAGGAGCACCGUACAAUGAGAGACCCGCUCUUAGUUCUAAGGAACGCAGCAGGCGCGUAAAUUGCCCAAUGCUAGUACCCUAAUACAAACAUUAUAUAUAGCAAUUUACAAUAUAUGCAACAUGUAUUUUACACAUACAUACGCAAACAUAUUGACACUUUUUAACUACUGUCACACACACACACACACAUCCUUGUUCGCAUGUCCUAUAUUGUAAUUUUAUUAAUUUAUAUUAUAUAUAAAUUUUAUUUUACUGAGGCAGUGACAAGCUGUAACGGUUGAGUAUAAAAAUGACGAGUGUCUGGCAUUGCCGCUUCUUUCGGGGAGCUUGGCAAGUUGCCGACGCUUUGUGUGCUCAAUUGGAAUGCGGUGAGUAAGCAACUCAGAACCUUUAAUACGGUGUGAUUUUUUGAUCAUCGUGUUAUGUAUCUGAAUUUCAAGUGAGGGCAAGNNNNNNNNNNNNNNCCGCGGUAAUACCAGCUCCACUGGCCUAUACAAUCAUUGUUGCGGUUAAGAGGCUCGUAGUUGGAUUGAACUACUGAUUAUUAUUUACACAAAUACUAUCAGUAUUUUUAUAUACGUGUAUAUAUAUGUAUUUUUUAUUAAAUAUAUGUUAUAUAUGUAUUCGACGCUGUUAUAAAUUAAUAAUUUUAUAUUAUAUUUCGGCACACACACACACACACACAUACGCAGAUAGUAUUUUUUAUUCAUAUCAUUUCAACACUGUGAACAAAUCAGAGUGUAUCAAACAUGUCAUUUUUGAAUGUGCAUUGAAUGUCUUAUCAUGGGAUGUUGCCACUUUCAUAAAUAUAUUGUUAAAGAUACGCUAUACACACACACACAUACAUACAUAUCAUGCGUUUAGCCAAAUGUAAAAAUUUUAUAUUUUUAUAUCUUUAACGGUUAAAAAUGUCGAUGGGGAUAGUUGGAGUCAACAGUACUGCUGGGCGAGAGGUGAAAUUCAUUGACCCUAGCAAGACUACCAAAAGCGAAAGCAGUUGGCUAGGCUAUACUCUUUGUGAUUAAUUAUAUAUUUUAUACGUAUUUUUACUGUAUUACACACACACACACAAUUCAUACGGUAUUAAUAUAUUUAUAUUUUAUAUAAUACAAUACACUUUACAAUGAAGAACGAAGGUUGGGGGAUCAAAGAGGAUCAGAUACCCUCGUCGUCCCAUUAAUUACAUCAAACGAUGGACUCUCAAUUGCAUUUAUACUCGUAUAAUUGCAAAUUUCCUCAGCCUGCAAAUAUAUUUUUUAGCUUGAGCUCGUGAUUUCGAUCACGCUCGCUAUAUUUUUAUUUCGUAUGGUCUCGAUGUGACGUUUCAAUUAUAUAUUUUCUUUGCGUGUAAGCAUUAUACAUUAUUCUUUGAAACAUAAGAUUUGUAUUGCGUGCACUUGAUUUUCGGAGCUUUGCGCUCAAUUCUGGUGAGAUGUAGGCACUAUGUUAUUUUACCCGUACGUAUAUACCUUGUGAUUCGUCACUGGUAUUUUACUGUAUUGUGUGUAUUAUAACACUUUCAGUGUGAAGCACGCUUUAGGCACGCGCUUACUGCAGAAAUGUCUGAGACAUUCUCCUCCGGGGGUAGUAUGCACGCAAGUGUGAAACUUGAAGGAAUUGACGGAAGGGCACCACAAGAACGCGUGGAGCAUGUGGCUUAAUUUGACUCAACGCGGAAAUCUUACCGGGUCCGGACACACUGAGGAUUGACAGGCAAUAUUAAUAUAUAUUGCAUUUAUGUACAUUAUAUUAUGUUAAAUAUGCUAGUCCUUUCAUGAUUAUGCGAUAGGUGGUGCAUGGCCGUUCUUAGUUCGUGGAGUGAUCUGUCUGCUUAAUUGCGUUCCACUAUUGGGCUUAUAUAAUUACGUAUGCUGUUAACGCUUUGACCCCUUUCUACGGAUUGUGCGUGUCUUUGUCUCGUUUAACUCAUACAAUUAAGCCCUGAAAGCAACGAACGUGACCGCAACCUCUUGUUGCUCUCAUUCAUAUAUUAUGCAUUCGUGCAUUUUAUUCACAUACUUUUUUAUAUUUAUUUAUCGAAUUGUAUUAAGAGAGCUUUCUAAACUAGAGGGACCGCUGUUACUUUCUUAAACCAGAGGAAGGUUGCGGCAAUAACAGGUCUGUGAUGCCCUUAGAUGUUCCGGGCUGCACACGUGCUACAAUGAUUAUUGCAGUGAGCAUCUCAUUUUUUACACAUCGCAUGCGCGAGUCCAUUUAUUCUUUACCUUCGUGUAUUGCUUUAAAUGUGUAUCUCUGCGCGCGAUAAAGCCUGCUUCGAAAGUCAGUGGGUAAUCAAUUAGAAGUAAUGAUUUCCGUUUUAUUUUAUUAUAUCUGCACACAUAUAUACGGCACUUAUACCCGGGUAACCUUGUUGUUACUUCUGUGUGUAUACGUGAUAUCGUUUUCUUGUAAAACUUUAUAUUACCGUAUGUGCAAUUGUCAAUUCAUGGUGGGGACAGACCAUUGUUAAUUGUUGUCUCGGUCUUAACUAGGAAUGCCUUGUACGGAUCUUUGGUUCAACAAACCAUCCGGAAUACGUCCCUGCCCUUUGUACACACCGCCCGUCGCUCUUACCGAUGGACUUCUCUGUGAGUUUGAGGGACUGGUAUUUUGAUAAAUUCGUUUAUCAUAUCACUAUAGAAACUUAAACGAACAGUGGGGUCUAAAGGAAAGAGAAGUCGUAACAAGGCAUCAGUAGGUGAACC
This 3278-nucleotide ribosomal RNA is filed under the name Islandiella sp. 2643. Its description in RNAcentral is "SSU rRNA". The stretch from base 897 to 3278 matches the Rfam family "Eukaryotic small subunit ribosomal RNA". Lineage: Eukaryota; Foraminifera; Rotaliida; Cassidulinidae. The record is from RNAcentral.